GACGAACGCUGGCGGCGUGCUUAACACAUGCAAGUCGAACGGAAAGGCCCUGGUUUUGUGGGGUGCUCGAGUGGCGAACGGGUGAGUAACACGUGAGUAACCUGCCCUUGACUUUGGGAUAACUUCAGGAAACUGGGGCUAAUACCGGAUAGGAGCUCCUGCUGCAUGGUGGGGGUUGGAAAGUGUCGGCGGUUGGGGAUGGACUCGCGGCUUAUCAGCUUGUUGGUGGGGUAGUGGCUUACCAAGGCUUUGACGGGUAGCCGGCCUGAGAGGGUGACCGGCCACAUUGGGACUGAGAUACGGCCCAGACUCCUACGGGAGGCAGCAGUGGGGAAUAUUGCACAAUGGGCGGAAGCCUGAUGCAGUAACGCCGCGUGCGGGAUGACGGCCUUCGGGUUGUAAACCGCUUUCGCCUGUGACGAAGCGUGAGUGACGGUAAUGGGUAAAGAAGCACCGGCUAACACCGUGCCAGCAGCCGCGGUAA
RNAcentral lists this ribosomal RNA (484 nucleotides) under uncultured bacterium. RNAcentral describes it as "partial 16S ribosomal RNA". It matches the Rfam family "Bacterial small subunit ribosomal RNA", at positions 28 to 523 of the family's 1533-position model. The record is from RNAcentral.